UAGCUUAGUGGUUAAGGCUAUGAAUCGCAAAUUCGGAGACGGCGGGUUCGAUUCCCGU
This is a non-coding RNA of Aedes albopictus (Asian tiger mosquito), 58 nucleotides long. NCBI's taxonomy places the organism in Eukaryota, Metazoa, Arthropoda, Insecta, Diptera, Culicidae. The record is from Rfam.